This 38-nucleotide transfer RNA is filed under the name Leptobarbula berica. RNAcentral describes it as "partial tRNA-Ser". Lineage: Eukaryota; Viridiplantae; Streptophyta; Bryopsida; Pottiales; Pottiaceae. RNAcentral also lists the same sequence under 1 other name. The record is from RNAcentral.
UAUAAUAAAAAUUUAUAAAUAAGGAAAGAGAGGGAUUC